RNAcentral lists this ribosomal RNA (253 nucleotides) under uncultured bacterium. RNAcentral's name for it is "partial 16S ribosomal RNA". It matches the Rfam family "Bacterial small subunit ribosomal RNA", at positions 524 to 776 of the family's 1533-position model. The record is from RNAcentral.
GACAGAGGGUGCAAACGUUGUUCGGAAUUACUGGGCGUAAAGCGCGUGUAGGCGGCUCGAUAAGUCGUGUGUGAAAGCCCUAGGCUCAACUUAGGAAGUGCGCACGAAACUGCCGAGCUUGAGUGCUGGAGAGGAAGGUGGAAUUCUCGGUGUAGAGGUGAAAUUCGUAGAUAUCGAGAGGAACACCGGUGGCGAAGGCGGCCUUCUGGACAGACACUGACGCUGAGACGCGAAAGCGUGGGGAGCAAACAGG